Molecule: long non-coding RNA, 467 nt
Filed under: Olea europaea subsp. europaea
Lineage: Eukaryota; Viridiplantae; Streptophyta; Magnoliopsida; Lamiales; Oleaceae
Source: RNAcentral
AUUGAACAAAAAGAUGCUUCCAAAUUAACAAAUCAGCAGUAUUCUUGAUUUUGGGAAAUGUAUUACCCUAAACUUUUAAUCACCACAACUUGAUUCUAGGACAAUAAACAUUUCAUAAUAUAUUGAAAUCACUUAAAAACACAAAAACGCAAGUUACAGUGCACAAAAAACUAAACAUAUCAACAUAAAAUUAAAUAAAAAUCAUAAAAAAGUUUAAAAUAGUGAAAAAUCUUGGCGAACCUAAGGUUUAUAAAUUUUUGAAGAAUUUUCUUCUUCUUCUUUGAGCUUCCUUCUUCACCAACAUUGGAAGUUUCUGAUUUUGACUGUUAUAAUUUGGGGCUUUCAGAGUUUCGGUGGUUCAGAGUUUUUCAAGAGGCGUCGGAGAAGACGGUAAGAAAAGUCAUGGAUGAGGAGGGUUUUUCUUUGGAGCCUUUUGGAAUGGCCAAUGGGAUUUGCUGAGAAAGGAG